UGGGGAAUAUUGGACAAUGGGCGAAAGCCUGAUCCAGCCAUGCGCGUGAGUGAUGAAGGCCCUAGGGUUGUAAAGCUCUUCACCGGUGAAGAUAAUGACGGUAACCGGAGAAGAAGCCCCGGCUAACUUCGUGCCAGCAGCCGCGGUAAUACGUAGGGUGCAAGCGUUGUCCGGAAUUAUUGGGCGUAAAGAGCUCGUAGGCGGUCUGUCGCGUCGGCUGUGAAAAUCUCGGGGCUCAACUCCGAGCUUGCAGUCGAUACGGGCAGGCUAGAGUUCGGCAGGGGAGACUGGAAUUCCUGGUGUAGCGGUGAAAUGCGCAGAUAUCAGGAGGAACACCAGUGGCGAAGGCGGCUUACUGGACGGUAACUGACGUUGAGGCUCGAAAGCGUGGGGAGCAAACAGGAUUAGAUACCC
This 414-nucleotide ribosomal RNA is filed under the name uncultured bacterium. Its description in RNAcentral is "bacterial SSU rRNA". It matches the Rfam family "Bacterial small subunit ribosomal RNA", at positions 355 to 787 of the family's 1533-position model. The record is from RNAcentral.